RNAcentral lists this ribosomal RNA (110 nucleotides) under Pteropus alecto (black flying fox). Lineage: Eukaryota; Metazoa; Chordata; Mammalia; Chiroptera; Pteropodidae. The record is from RNAcentral.
GUCUACAGCCAUGCUACCCUGAACACACCCGAUCUCAUCUGAUCUCAGAAGCUAAGCAGGGUUGGGCUUAGUUAGUACUUGGAUGAGAGACCACCUAGGUGCUAUAGGCU